UUGAUCCUGGCUCAGGACGAACGCUGGCGGCACGCUUAACACAUGCAAGUCGAACGAGAGAAGAGAAGCUUGCUUUUCUGAUCUAGUGGCGGACGGGUGAGUAACACGUGAGCAAUCUGCCUUUCAGAGGGGGAUACCGAUUGGAAACGAUCGUUAAUACCGCAUAACAUAAUUGAACCGCAUGAUUUGAUUAUCAAAGAUUUAUCGCUGAAAGAUGAGCUCGCGUCUGAUUAGCUAGUUGGUAAGGUAACGGCUUACCAAGGCGACGAUCAGUAGCCGGACUGAGAGGUUGAUCGGCCACAUUGGGACUGAGACACGGCCCAGACUCCUACGGGAGGCAGCAGUGGGGAAUAUUGCACAAUGGAGGAAACUCUGAUGCAGCGAUGCCGCGUGAGGGAAGAAGGUUUUAGGAUUGUAAACCUCUGUCUUCAGGGACGAAAAAAGACGGUACCUGAGGAGGAAGCUCCGGCUAACUACGUGCCAGCAGCCGCGGUAAUACGUAGGGAGCGAGCGUUGUCCGGAAUUACUGGGUGUAAAGGGAGCGUAGGCGGGAUCGCAAGUCAGAUGUGAAAACUAUGGGCUUAACCCAUAAACUGCAUUUGAAACUGUGGUUCUUGAGUGAAGUAGAGGUAAGCGGAAUUCCUAGUGUAGCGGUGAAAUGCGUAGAUAUUAGGAGGAACAUCAGUGGCGAAGGCGGCUUACUGGGCUUUAACUGACGCUGAGGCUCGAAAGCGUGGGGAGCAAACAGGAUUAGAUACCCUGGUAGUCCACGCCGUAAACGAUGAUUACUAGGUGUGGGGGGACUGACCCCUUCCGUGCCGCAGCAAACGCAAUAAGUAAUCCACCUGGGGAGUACGACCGCAAGGUUGAAACUCAAAGGAAUUGACGGGGGCCCGCACAAGCAGUGGAGUAUGUGGAUUAAUUCGAAGCAACGCGAAGAACCUUACCAGGUCUUGACAUCGUAUGCAUAGCUCAGAGAUGAGUGAAAUCUCUUCGGAGACAUAUAGACAGGUGGUGCAUGGUUGUCGUCAGCUCGUGUCGUGAGAUGUUGGGUUAAGUCCCGCAACGAGCGCAACCCUUACUGUUAGUUGCUACGCAAGAGCACUCUAGCAGGACUGCCGUUGACAAAACGGAGGAAGGUGGGGAUGACGUCAAAUCAUCAUGCCCCUUAUGACCUGGGCCUCACACGUACUACAAUGGCUGUUAACAGAGGGAUGCAAAGCCGCGAGGUGGAGCGAACCCCUAAAAGCAGUCUUAGUUCGGAUUGUAGGCUGCAACCCGCCUACAUGAAGUCGGAAUUGCUAGUAAUCGCAGAUCAGCAUGCUGCGGUGAAUACGUUCCCGGACC
Molecule: ribosomal RNA, 1347 nt
Filed under: uncultured bacterium
Lineage: Bacteria
Description: 16S ribosomal RNA
Rfam family: Bacterial small subunit ribosomal RNA
Source: RNAcentral